CCUGCCACCUUGUGGUAUACUGACAAGAAUAAUCAACUACACACACACUUUGGUGCCUUCACUGCAGCUCUGAAAGUGUACCUUAACAAAUUCUUCUCUAAAACACUGGGUAAUAGUUAAGACUCAUUCCUCAUUCACAUAUUGGCUACACUGUGUUUCAGAAAGAAUCCAAGAUAUUAAUCCACAGCGCAGAGUCAACUUUUGGGAGGGGUGGGGUGGAAAAAAAAAUCACCUAACAACUAAAUUUAAUUUACAAUAUGCCCUAGUUUAGCCAACUAUUCCAACCUGAUUGUAAAUACAAUUGAGGAUAUACCCUGGCUAAUAAGCACAGAGGAAAUAAGAUGUGUGCUACACUGUUGAACUGUUUAUAAUCUUAGUGCCUUAAUUGCAAACAUUCCACUGACCACUAGGUAGCACUGUUUGAUAAGGUUAACAGAGAAGUGCCAUGGAAAAGGAGGACAUUAUGGAAAAGGACGACAUUAUUCCACUGCAAUGUGGCUUGAGAAUUUCUUAACACUCAAAAUUGCAUCUCAGUCUCUAUAUACAUCAGUAACUCACUCCAUAAUGCCUAAAACAAGAGUUUCCCAAGUCUCUUUCAAGCAUACCUUUUUCUACAGUCUUCUCAAUCACCACCUGAAAACCAACAGGAAAAAGAAACCCUUGCAUGCAAGCAAACAAGGCAGAAAGGUCCUUGCCAUACAUCUGUUCCCAGGAAAGUAUUUUGAUUGUCCGUAAGGCUCCAAGUAUUGACCUACCAACUUCCUUUUCCCUUCAUCUCGUUGCCCAAUAUUUAUUCCACAUGCAACAGAGCCAAUCUCAAUAUCAUCUGGCAGAGACAGCAAAGGAAAACCUUCCCAAGACAGCAUCCCCUAUUCCUCCCUGACAAAAAAAAGUCACAAAGAAACAAGAGGAUAGAAGCGGGACUGUAUCAAACCCAAAGAAGGAAUUCAGUACAGAGCACAAGCCUUCAGCAGGCUUCCUUCAAUAACUGCUUUGAGAUGGGCACAGUCUCCAAAUCAGUAAUGACAUCAUAAAAGAGUUGUUACCUUUGAACAAUGGCUCACAGACUGCAUACAUCAGCUCUGGAGGGGGUGUUUAAAAAACCCUAUGGGCCAGAACUACCAUGGCUUUCCCUCUGAACUAAAAUUUAAACCUGUGUGCAUGCACAAUAGAGAUGAUCUGGUUGAAUUCACAGCCCUGGAAUGACAGAAGGAAGCAAUUACAGUUUUGCGUACUAAAUAGUCUUUGAGAUUAUGCUUCAUUUUGAAUGGAUCUGUAGCAGACUGAGCACAUGACUUCUCUGGAAAGUUAACUUCUCAAAUGCCACACAAUUAUGGCAGAGCAAAAAUAGGCUCUAAGCUACUAUAAGAACCCAAGUGUUGUUAAAGUCAAAAGCAACUGGAACAGUAUUAGAGGCAAAAGG
This is a long non-coding RNA of Gavialis gangeticus (Gharial), 1423 nucleotides long. RefSeq lists it as uncharacterized. The record is from RefSeq and is a predicted model, not a curated record. The transcript has 2 exons. Lineage: Eukaryota; Metazoa; Chordata; Crocodylia; Gavialidae.